GUGACGAAGGCAACAUCAUCGUUUGGAAAGCGUCGCAAUAAGACGCACACGUGCCACUGCUGUGGCUCUAAGGCCUACCACCUUCAGAAGUUGACCUGUGGCAAAUGUGGCUACCCCGCCAAGCGCAAGAGAAAGUAUAACGGCAGUGCCAAGGCUAAAAGACAAAAUACCACUGGGACUGGUCGAAUGAGGCACCUAAAAAUUGUAGACCGCAGAUUCAGGCACAGAUUCCGUGAAGGAACACCACCUAAACCCAAGAGGGCAGCUGCUGCAGCAUCCAGUUCAUCUU
Molecule: long non-coding RNA, 289 nt
Filed under: Homo sapiens (human)
Lineage: Eukaryota; Metazoa; Chordata; Mammalia; Primates; Hominidae
Description: non-protein coding lnc-HNRNPU-7:1
Source: RNAcentral